Molecule: ribosomal RNA, 118 nt
Organism: Chrysochromulina sp.
Lineage: Eukaryota; Haptophyta; Prymnesiales; Chrysochromulinaceae
Source: Rfam
ACGUGCGGCCACAUCAGGCAGGGUCACCGCUUCCCAUCCGAACAGCGAAGUUAAGCUGCCUCGAGUAUCGGUAGUACUGCGGUGGGGGACCACGCGGGAAGGCGAUAUGCUGCACGUU